AUGAGGGCCUUAUUCUGGAAUAUUAGAGGGUUCGGUGCUAGGGGGCGCCGUGACCAACUGAAAGAUUUGGUUCGUUCUAACUCUAUUGACUUUGUGGGGCUGGUUGAAACGUUUAAGGAUUCCUUUACCCCCAGUGAGCUUUCUGCUAUCGUGGGUAUGGAUAGAUUUCAGUGGCAAUCUUUACCGGCUUCGGGCCACUCUGGUGGGAUUCUGAUCGGUUCUAAUAAGGAUAUUUUUGACUUUGUUGCUUUUGAUCAUGGGUUUUAUUGGGCUAGUGUUGUUCUCUCGCAUAGAUCUAUGAAUGCCCUCUGUGAAUUUAUAGUUGUUUAUGGGCCCGCGGAUCACUCCUUUUCGCACCUUUUCCUUGAUGAACUUUCGAUCAAGCUUGAGUCAUGUUCUCUCCCGACGGUGAUUGGGGGAGACUUUAAUCUUCUG
RNAcentral lists this ribosomal RNA (435 nucleotides) under Triticum aestivum (bread wheat). RNAcentral describes it as "partial small subunit ribosomal RNA". Lineage: Eukaryota; Viridiplantae; Streptophyta; Magnoliopsida; Poales; Poaceae. The record is from RNAcentral.